UACGUAGGGGGCAAGCGUUGUCCGGAAUCAUUGGGCGUAAAGAGCGUGUAGGCGGCCAGAUAAGUCCGCUGUGAAAACUCGAGGCUCAACCUCGAGACGCCGGUGGAAACCAUCUAGCUAGAGUCCGGAAGAGGAGAGUGGAAUUCCUGGUGUAGCGGUGAAAUGCGCAGAUAUCAGGAAGAACACCCGUGGCGAAGGCGGCUCUCUGGGACGUGACUGACGCUGAGACGCGAAAGCGUGGGGAGCGAACAGG
This 253-nucleotide ribosomal RNA is filed under the name uncultured bacterium. Its description in RNAcentral is "partial 16S ribosomal RNA". It matches the Rfam family "Bacterial small subunit ribosomal RNA", at positions 524 to 776 of the family's 1533-position model. The record is from RNAcentral.